RNAcentral lists this long non-coding RNA (1552 nucleotides) under Homo sapiens (human). RNAcentral describes it as "HSALNT0028475". Lineage: Eukaryota; Metazoa; Chordata; Mammalia; Primates; Hominidae. The record is from RNAcentral.
UUUGGACAAUGUUUUUAUUUUUUUGGCGGGAAAGAUCAGACAUCUUUCACAACAGAGCACAGCCACCUUGAAGCUGGGGAAGGGGCUGUUUCUGAAGCUCAGGGCUUCCCCGUCCAGUUUCUCCACCCAGAGAUCAUCUCAGUGUGACAGCCUCUUCCCACCCCAAUACACCGUCCUCUGGGGAGGAAGAAAUAAAAGCAAGCGCAUUCCAGAUGUUCCCGGGAAAAUGGUAUUUGGGAAAAGGAUGUUUGUUUAGAAUUUACCAAAAAUAGAGAGCCCCAAAGGAGGAAAAGGCAAGCUCUUGACCCAUUUAAAAAGCCAUUUCCCAGGAAGGACUUUCUAACAAACAAUGUCACAAAAAGAAAAGCUAAUAGCUUUGACAAUAUAAUAAUAUAAAGCUUUGGUACAUUCAAAGCCUCCAAAAGCAAAAAUUAAGCAACACAUAUAUGCAACAGAUAUCAAAAUGACAACAUACAGAGAGCUCAUCAAAUGAUUUUUAAAUAAAUCCAUCAAAACCUUGUUAGGAAAACAGGCAAAGAAAACAGAUAAUCAACCAAGAAAGUUUUAAACGGCUUAAUAAGUAUGAACAUUUGCGUUUCGUUAAUAAUCGUAUCAAUUAUAAUUUUGAAAUACCAUUAUUUCUCUUUCAGAUCAUGAGACUGGCUUUAUUGGUGUUACCAUAAGCUGGUGUAGACCGUAACACCAGCCCUCUCAAACCUGGGCUGAGGGUGGCAUAUCAGUCAGGGGCAACUCUUUUGGAAACAUUUUGGCAACACAUAUCAAGGAUAUUUAACUACAAAAUGUAAAUGUCUUGAAAUUUUCUCUGAGGAAAUAUUGAGAAAUUCAGACCAAAAAACUGUGUACAAAGAUGAUUGAUAAAGGGGGUAUUGAAUAGUAAAACAUGGAAGCCAAGAUGUUCUACAAUAGGUGAAUAAAUACAUUAUGAUAUGUCUGUACGAUCAUAGGACACAGUCAUUUAAAGUGGUCUUUUUGAAGAAUGUUUAUGCAAAGGAAAAGAAACGAAAGUGAAAAAAGGAGGCUGCAAAGCGUACGAGCCCACUCUUAGGAAGCAUGUAUAGAGGAAUGAAUGACAUAGCUACAUAGAAACAUGAUGGCCAUCAACCACGCCCAUCUGUGGCAGGGAGAGCAAGACCCUGACCCCAUCCCCUGCUCUCCUGAGGAUGGUAGGGAUGCCACAAGCCCAUUUAGUGUUUCAGAGGGUAGAGGUGAGGCUGGGAACCUGGGAAGAGCCUGGCGAAAGGUUGACGGGGAGAGGGCAAGAGAGCAGGAUGUUUGUGUUCACCAAUGACAGUGGCCAUGGUCCCAUGGUAGGUCAGUGGCCCAGAAAGUAUCAGAGACCAUGGAUUAAGAAUCAGACCACUGUGCACUCGGGAGGCCGAGGGGAUGUCAUGCAUGGGCAGCUCUGUUCUGGGAAAGAAAUCUUCUCCCUGUCUCAACGUCCGGGCCUCUUCCACCAACCAUCUGGCUGUUCCACAAUCUCCUCCACCCAGGACAUGGACACUUAUCCCCACCCCAGGACAUGGGACACCUU